Molecule: long non-coding RNA, 348 nt
Filed under: Anser cygnoides (Swan goose)
Lineage: Eukaryota; Metazoa; Chordata; Aves; Anseriformes; Anatidae
Description: lncRNA (ENSACDG00005004637.1)
Source: RNAcentral
AUGGCAAACAGACAAACAAGCAAAAAAAUAGAGGUAAACACCCUCCCCUCUCCCAAAUCACCAUUCAGGCUGAGCAGACUUUAUUUUAAAAUGGGCACAUUUUUUUCCAGGAGAUGUCAGAUGAUGUCGAAAAUGUCAUCCACUGUUGUGGAAGUGGCAGAAAGGAGCUUGAGUUCUACCUUCAGAGGAUGGAGCUGCCAGUACAACAUAUGUAUGCAUCCAGAAAUCUCAAAAUCAGCGAAAGCUAGCAUGCCCAUUGGAUGCUGGGUGGAUGCAGUGAGAUGCUUAGCUGGUUCCUGACUUUCAGGAUAAAUACACAAUGGGAUGAAACCGACCUUCUUCCAGAAU